Long non-coding RNA from Suricata suricatta (meerkat), 186 nucleotides. RefSeq lists it as uncharacterized. The record is from RefSeq and is a predicted model, not a curated record. The transcript has 3 exons. Lineage: Eukaryota; Metazoa; Chordata; Mammalia; Carnivora; Herpestidae.
GGUGAGGGGAAAGAAAGAGAAAUGGUCACUGCAGUGGCACCUGGCCACAAGAAGGAGAGCCAUUUAGCUGUCCGAUGUCGGGAACCACUUCUCCCAGACACUAGUCAAUAUCCAGACCACCUCACUCCUCCAUUUGUUUGGAUUCUGUGGCUAUCAGCACGGGGUUGACUGAAACAGACGCAGGAG